Herpailurus yagouaroundi (jaguarundi) is the source of this 2195-nucleotide long non-coding RNA. RefSeq lists it as uncharacterized. Lineage: Eukaryota; Metazoa; Chordata; Mammalia; Carnivora; Felidae. The record is from RefSeq and is a predicted model, not a curated record. The transcript is spliced from 4 exons.
AAGUAACAUCUUGAAAUUUCACCUCUGAAGUGACAGGUUUGGGCUCUUCAGAGUUCUUGAUAUAUUAUUGAGCUAUGACAUUUGAAUUAGCUUCAUGAAACCAUAUAAAUAUUUUUUGCUGGCCUUGUAAGUGUCAUUAUGAGCUGGUUUUUAUCAUUACUUUAAUUUCAGAGGCUGAUGUGAGCAACUUCUCCUUUGACAGUCAGGGAAUUUCAGAAUGAGAAGUAGGCUUGCAAUCUAUUUGCACAACAGACUGAAAGUACCUUUCUUCUGUGGGUUUGAUUUGAUUGCCUUACAAUUGUCCCUGUCAUCAUCACCAUGGAAUGAAGGUCGUGAGGUGUGCUGUGCAAUGAGCUGGAGAAUUUGCUUUCAGAUCAUCGGUGGGUGGAAUGGGCUCUGCUCAGAGGAGAAGCUGGUAUUUUUAUCCAGCCUCCACAAAGCCCCCAGCUCUUGGCAGUAAUGUGUCCUGGGCCUCUGACUCGCUUCUCCCCCUUCCAAGCCGGCUCAUUUUCUGAGUGUUUCUUCUUCUUCCCUGACUCCUUCCAAGGUGUUUACAGAUGACCCCCAUCUCAGGAGCCAAACCCUUGCCUGCGUCUGUUCAGCCUUCUCUGCUUCUCGUCACUCACCCAGCAUAGAGAUCUCAUUCUGGAGUUUGAACCUCGGCCCCCCAUUUAUGACCUGUGUUAACUUGGGAAAAUUACUUCACCUCUAUUGGCCUCGAUUUCUUCGUCUGUAAAAUGGGACCGAUAGUAGUCCUUCUACAUCUGAGUUCAUUCAAGGAGAGUGGACAGUGAAGAAACCCUAGGAGAAGCUCACCUCAAAUACCAGGAAACUUGGAACCAGGGAGAAUUUCAGGACACAAAGGGAACGAAAGAGAUCUGUUUGGUGGUCUUACAUCUGUUCAGUCCAUGAGGACCGAUCGUGCUCCACUUUUCCCAAUUUAGUUUUACUGCAUUUCUUGGUAGAACCACCCACUUGGAUCUGCUCAAUGACAUAUGGCUGGAUUCCUCAUCAUCACGGGUUUUUUUCUUGCCCAACACAUCUGGAAUAAAAUGGAUUGGAAAAAUUACGUUUCCACAUUGAGGAAAGGAAAAAGAUGGUAGGUGGUUACCGCUUCCAUCAAAAUACUUCUCAAAUACGGCUAGCAUCCUUUAUAAUUUCAGGUACACUGCACUUAUUUUGCCUUGGAAAAGGCAAAUGCCUUUCGUUUAUUCAUUUUAUACGUGUGAGAAGAAUGAUGAUUCAACUAAUCUGGUCAAUUCCAGAAUAUGAAAGUGGGGGUACUGAGAAUUCCAGCCCCUUUGUUUGUUAGAAGAGACAAGUUGUGUUUACCUGCUACCAAAACAAUUUGAAGACAAGUUGGAAAUUAAUGUAAACCAGCAUCAUGCAAUCCUAAAUCCUCCAGUUCUUUGGCUGAAUCCAAUUCUUGUUGCUUUGGUGGUUGCUUUUAGUGAAACUGUUUUAUGCAGAUAAAGUAAGUCUUGGUAGAUUAAUGAUGGCCACAAAUUCUCUGUGACUUUUCCCACUGAGGGGGAGAGUCUGGCCUCAGAGGCUUGCUUGAGUGUGGCAGAAGUGUCACUGUGUGACUCCUAGGCUAGGUCAUAAGAAGUCUUUGUCUCUGGAAUACUUUCUGGAGUCCUGAGCUGUCCUCUGGUCGGUCACUUACCCUUCACAUGGGAGUGAUGUUAUCUGAAGCCUACAGACCAGUCCAUCUAGUCAAUACCAUAAGGGACAAUGGAAUCACUCAGCUAAGCCCUGCCUGAAUCCCUUAACCACAAAGUUUUGAGGUAAUACAAUCAUUGUUGACUUAAACCCAAUAAAUAACCUAACACACAAAAAGGUAUGUUCUUCGAGAUAGUAAUUGGAUUCUUACCCAUUGGCCUCUUUGCCUUACCUUGUGACUAUGAUAAAUGGCAUCUUUUAAAAAUUCUCACAAUAAUCUUGCACUAUGUAUGCGAUUAUCCCUGUAUUACGGAUGAGAAAAUAGGCACCAAGAGAAUAAGUAACUUGAUUAAAAUAUGCAAGAGCACCAUAGGUAGGACUGAAACCCAAGCCUGUCCAGUUUCAAAUCCUUAGCUAUCAUCAAAGUGAGAAUCUUAAUUGUUGCUGAUGUGAUCACAUCAUUAAGAAUAAAGUUUUCUUGGAUGGUUCAGGCUCUAACUGCAUGAAUCUCAAUCAGGGGUCAGCAAACUUUG